Molecule: long non-coding RNA, 4925 nt
Filed under: Homo sapiens (human)
Lineage: Eukaryota; Metazoa; Chordata; Mammalia; Primates; Hominidae
Description: HSALNT0131514
Source: RNAcentral
CAGGCGUGCACCAUCACGCCCGGCUAAUUUUUGUGUUUUCAGUAGAGAUGGGGUUUCACCAUGUUGGUCAGGCUGGUCUCGAACUCCUGACCUUGUGAUCUGCCUGCCUUGGCCUCCCAAAGUGUUGGGAUUACAGGUGUAAGCCACUGAGCCUGGCCAUUAAGUCCCCAUUUCUUUGGGGUCAACUAUUAGAGCUUUAUUUUGUUGCUUUAAAGGUGUCAUAUUUCCUUGAUUCUUUGUAUAUAUAUAUUUUUGAAGACUUGCGCUGCUAUCUUCACAUUUGAAGAAGCGGUCACCUCCUUUAGUCUUACUUGUUUCUUAUUAAAAUUUUUUUAAUGUUUUUUUUUAAGAGAUGGGAUCUCACUAUGUUGCCCAGGGUGGUCUCAAACUCCUGGCCUCAAGUGAUCCUCCCACCUCAGCCUCCCAAAGUGCUGAGAUUACAGGUGUAAGCUACCAUGCCUGGCUGUCCCCCAGUCUUUGUUGACUGGCUUUGGGAGAGAAAGACCUUCAUCAGUCAUCCUAGCUAAGGAUUUGAGGGAUCGCUCAGAUCUUUUCUGUAGAUACACCCACUCUACUCCUGUUGCUCCCUCUUAGGGAGAGAAGUCUUAGGUUGUAAGCUCCUCUCAAUCCUCCAAAGCUGGGUCUACACUGAGCACCUCCCAUUUUCCCUAAUGCAGUGCUCUGAAGCAUUCAAGGUUGGGCACCUUCUCCCAGUCCAGCAGAGUCAAGCCGGCUGCUCAGAUUUGCAUCUGCCGUUGAGAUCUGUGUACUGUUUGGGAGGAGGGUGCAUGAGACACCAUAUGCUCAGGGGUACGUGGAGUGCUGGGGGCAUGGAUCAGUUGGUUGGGGGGCCCACAGGCAAGUUGUUCUGUGGGUUCAUGGGCGGGCCUCCUGGUGGAGUGUUAGCUGGUUAGUGGGAUCCAUGGCUGGCUGUUGGUUGCUAGGCAUGUCCUUCCCUUCUCCUAGCAGUCCCCAGGUGACUCAGCCAUGCUGAUUCCUCAGUGUUCUGGGGAGAGACACAGGUGGGCUAUUGGGCAGCAUCCUAUAAGGUUGGGGAAGCUGGUGCUCACUCAGCACUCAGUUUCCCCUGUGGGAGAAACCACAGGCCCAGGGGGGCCUCAUUGGAGGAGCACUAGCACAGGUAAACUGAACCUUCUUAGCCUCUUCGGUGUGCUCUCUUUGCCCUGUGGGGUGCUAGAACCUCUCAGUGUUUCUGUGGGGGCAUGAGGGCUGGAACCUCCUAUUCUGUCACCUUCCUGGCCUCUUCCUACAAUUAUUUUUAUGCUCAAAUUGCCCCCGAUUUGGACAGGGGGAGAGCCUUCAGGCUGCUCCUCCAGCCCUCUCACAUGUCCCCAACGUUGUUCAGCAUUUCCUUAUUUUCCAGCACUAGACAUUCUAAGGCUCACCCUGUACUCUCUCUGCUCUUCCCUGGAAAUAGUCAUUUCUCCAAAGAGUUCUGUUCCCUUGGAAUAGAGAAUGGUAUUUACAAACCAAGAAAUGGAUUUCAGGUGUGCCAGUUGUUUCUGGGGUGGCAUUGCUUCUAGGCCCCUUCGGUGGACAGAGCUGGGAAAGAAACUGUGUGUAUCAUAUAUAUCUGCACACGUAAGCUGUGUGUGUAUCAUAUAUAAUACAUCUGCACAUAUAAACUGUGUAUGUAUCAUAUAUAAUACAUCUGCACUUAUAAACUGUGUAUGUAUCAUAUAUUAAUACAUCUGCACAUAUAAACUAUCAUCUGUACAUAUAAACUGUAUAUCAUAUAUAUCUGCACAUAUAAACAGUAUCAUAUAAUACAUCUGCACAUGUAAACUGUAUCAUAUCUGCACAUAUAAACUAUCAUAUAUCUGCACAUAUAAACUGUAUCAUAUAUAAUACAUCUGCACAUAUAAACUGUAUCAUAAUACAUCUGCACAUAUAAACUGUCAUGUAUAUCUGCACAUAUAAACUGUAUCAUAUAUAUUUGCACAUAUAAACUGUGUGUAUCAUAUAAUACAUCUGCACAUAUAAACUAUCAUAUAUAAUACAUCUGCACAUAGAAACUGUGUAUCAUAUAUCUGCACAUAUAAGCUGUGUGUGUAUCAUAUAUAUCUGCACAUAUAAACUGUGUGUAUCAUAUAUAAUACAUCUGCACAUAUAAAUGUGUGUAUCAUAUAUAUCCACACAUAUAAACUGUGUGUGUAUCAUAUAUCUACACAUAUAAACUGUGUGUAUCAUAUAUAAUACAUCUGCACAUAUAAACUGUGUGUAUCAUAUAUAUCCGCACAUAUAAACUGUGUGUGUAUCAUAUAUAUCUGCACAUAUAAACUGUGUGUGUAUCAUAUAUAAUACAUCUGCACACAUGCUUCUCUGUAUUGAAAACCAAAUUGUCACGGACCACUCCCAUUCUCACGCAGCAUUUAGGGCUGUGGCUAGCCUUUCCCAGCUGUAAGAAACCUGUCUUUCAGCAUGAUAAACACAUUUACUUAUUUGCUCAGUCCUCUAAUAUGCAGAAAGUAGUUUUAGAAUUGCCAAAACCAUACAACUUGGAAAAACAAGCAUGAUUACUUCAAGAUGUGUUUGUAGCUCCUUCUGUCCUGGCAUUGGACGUGGAGAGAAAGCACAGACUGUUCCAAGUUUCAUUUUUCCCCUUCUCUGAAACGCAGAGAGCGUUGUUUGUUUCUGUUUGUAUUUCAUUUGGGUCCUCCCUCUAGCCUUAUUCAUAAAUUUGUAAAUGAUCUUUAACAAUCUGUUAUAUUUAUGAUGUUUUACUGCGUGCUGCCUGUGAAAAUGUUUCCUUCUUCUGACACGUUCCAGAACAACUAGGCUUUUAAAUUCCAAAUAUUCCUGUUUCACAAUAAACCAGAUGAGGGCCUCUGUUGUGCCACAGCUUUUGGAAUGUGGUUUAUUACCAAUAGAAGUGGCUGCGUGGCUUGUUAUGGUUUCAAUUACACGUGAGUAACAACCGGGGCCCUUCUGUGUCAGGUGCUGCUGAUCAAGGCUGGCUAAUGGGGACCUCGCUGUCCAGAACGGGCGUUUCCCAUGGCCCGGCCCAGCUGUUUACCACUUCUGUCUACCAUUUCAGAGGGGCUUUGCGGAGAUUAAAUGAGGUGAAGCGCUCUGAGAACCUCAGUCCUAAAGAAUAGCAGUUAUACUGGUUUUUGUAUUAUAUUUAUAUAUUCUUCUUGUUAAUAUACUGGUUUUAAUGUUCAUCGUUCUCUUGGGAUCCCAUGACAGUGAGCCUGGUGUACCUGAGGUCUGGGAUACUCACACCUCUCCCCAGUCCCAUGCUCCCCACUGUGGCAGUGCCUGUCAGGGACCCUGCUGACCCCAGGAAGCCUCGGUGUCCCCAGCGCUGGCUCUGCUCACACAGGCAGCAGGCUUAGUGUUCUCUGGCCUGGCUGCACUGACUGGACCAGGGACAGGGGAAGGGCCCCAAAGCACCCUGUUCCAGGCAGCCGGCCAGUCGUGGCCGAGGAGCUCCAUUCAACAGUGGCACCCAGAGGGGCCAGGGUCUCAUAAAGCUGGUCAGACGCCCCCUCUGGGUAGGGGUGUAGGAAGCGGCUGUGCAGCCGGGUCCCAGGUAGGGAGGCAUAGAGUGAAGGCUGUGAGCAGGAGCCCUGGGGCGGAGGGCCAGGAGAAGGCUGGGCACAGGUCCAUCGGUGGCAGCUGGGUGGGCAGAGCAGAGAGGCUGCAUCUGCACGACGGCAGGGCCCUGGUGUGGGAACAGCAGACGGGGCCCCUGGGUGCGGCGCCUCCUUCCCACAUCCCUGCUGCUCCUGCAUCUGCUGCUGGAGAAGACCACGACGUGCUCAGACCCCGGCACUGGAGAACUCCAGAUGUGGUGAGGGCUGCACGUUAGCUGCAUACGCACAUCUGGAAGGUGAGGCAGACGUGCCCACCGCCUCCAUGCCUGGCCCACAGUUGUGGGCAUGCAGAGCUCCUCUGUGGCAGGCCCAGGCUGCACCAGCUGCCUGGAGAGGCACUGGGGGCGGGGCCUCACUUGAGGGGCAGAUUCUCCCACCCAGCCAGUCCAGGCCCAGCGGCUGGAGCAUCCCGUCCAGCAAAUUGUCCUGCAAGUUGCCCUGGAGACCCAGCGUCUCUCAUCACGUCUCACUCCCCUGCCAGAUGCCUCUGCGGCAAUAACGAGAGUGGCUCUGCCUUCUGCACUGAAUGCCGACAGGUGACCAGAACAUGACACUGGGGUUAUGCAGUGCCCUGGUUGAUAUUCUAGUUCAUCAGGGAGCUUCUGGAAUGAUUUUUUUUUUCUUUUUUUUUUUUUUUUGAGACAGAGUCUCUCUCUGUCGCCCAGGCUGGAGUGCAAUGGAGCAAUCUUGGCUCACCACAACCUCUGCCUCCGGGGUUCAAGUGAUUCUCCUGUCUGAGCCUCCUGAGUAGCUGGGAUUACAGGUGUCCACCACUAUCACUCAGUUAAUUUUUAUAUUUUUAGUAGAGAUGGGGUUUCACCAUGUUGCCUGGGCUGGUCUCAAACUCCUGACCUCAGGUGAUCUGCCUCCUCAGCCUCCCAAAGUGCUGGGAUUACAGGCAUGAGCCACCUCACCCAGCCAACUUUCUUUUGCUUCACUUUUCCUCUGGUUGCCCCAUCUUUAUUGUCAAGUCCUGUUAAGAGGAACAACAUUAAAAUGAGAGCUUUCAUGGCAAAAAGGUUGCUGUGGGUUGAGCUUGCAAUGUUAGCUGCGUGUUAGGAUUCAGCUGACAUCUGUCUCUGGAGUCUCGCCCUUUCUGUAAUUCGCUUUUGACUGUAAUAAAUGUUGUACAGGCCAGGUGCAGUGACUCACACCUGUAAUCCCAGCACUUUGCAAGGCCAAGGCAGGUGGACCACGAGGUCAGGAGAUCGAGAUCAUCCUGGCUAACACGGUGAAACCCCGUCUCCACUGAAAAUACAGAAAAUUAGCUGGGUGUGGUGGCACCUGCCUGUGGUCCCAGCUAUU